This 1436-nucleotide ribosomal RNA is filed under the name Fischerella sp. Sara 1. Its description in RNAcentral is "bacterial SSU rRNA". It matches the Rfam family "Bacterial small subunit ribosomal RNA". Lineage: Bacteria; Bacillati; Cyanobacteriota; Cyanophyceae; Nostocales; Hapalosiphonaceae. The record is from RNAcentral.
AUUUUAAUUAUAAUAAUAAUUACUUUUAGGAUAUUUCCCCUCGGCUAAGGGAACCGGGGUAUUUAAACCUCAAAUUGAAAGGUCCUUUCCGCGCAAGGGGGGACGGGGUGUAAACCGUGGAAAUUCGCUCUUAGUUUGGGAAAACCCCUGGAAACGGUGGCUAAUUCCGGAUUGGCGGAAAGGGGAAAGGUUAACUGCCGGGAAAUAGACUCCGCUUUGAUAAGCUAAUUGGUGGUUAAGGGACUUCCAAGGCGGCGGUCCGUAGCUGUUUGGAGGGAUGAUCAGCCACACUGGAACUGGGACCCGGUCCAGACUCCUUCGGGAGGCAGCAGUGGGGAAUUUUCCGCAAUGGGGGAAAGCCUGACGGAGCAAUACCGCGUGAGGGAGGAAGGCUCUUGGGUUGUAAACCUCUUUUUUCAGGGAAUAAGCAAGUGAAGGUACCUGAGGAAUCAGCAUCGGCUAACUCCGUGCCAGCAGCCGCGGUAAUACGGAGGAUGCAAGCGUUAUCCGGAAUGAUUGGGCGUAAAGCGUCCGUAGGUAGCAGUGUGUGUCUAUUGUUAAAGAGUUUGGCUUAACCAAAUAAAGGCGGUAGAAACUACACAGCUAGAGUGCGUUCGGGGCAGAGGGAAUUCCUGGUGUAGCGGUGAAAUGCGUAGAGAUCAGGAAGAACACCGGUGGCGAAAGCGCUCUGCUAGGCCGCAACUGACACUGAGGGACGAAAGCUAGGGGAGCGAAUGGGAUUAGAUACCCCAGUAGUCCUAGCCGUAAACGAUGGAUACUAGGCGUUGAGAGUAUCGACCCUCUCAGUGCCGUAGCUAACGCGUUAAGUAUCCCGCCUGGGGAGUACGCACGCAAGUGUGAAACUCAAAGGAAUUGACGGGGGCCCGCACAAGCGGUGGAGUAUGUGGUUUAAUUCGAUGCAACGCGAAGAACCUUACCAGGGCUUGACAUGUCUGGAAUCUUGGGGAAACUCAAGAGUGCCUUCGGGAGCCAGAACACAGGUGGUGCAUGGCUGUCGUCAGCUCGUGUCGUGAGAUGUUGGGUUAAGUCCCGCAACGAGCGCAACCCUCGUACUUAGUUGCCAGCACUUCGGGUGGGCACUCUAAGGAGACUGCCGGUGACAAACCGGAGGAAGGUGGGGAUGACGUCAAGUCAGCAUGCCCCUUACGUCCUGGGCUACACACGUACUACAAUGCUACGGACAAAGGGCAGCGAGACUGCGAAGUUAAGCAAAUCUCAGAAACCGUAGCUCAGUUCAGAUCGCAGGCUGCAACUCGCCUGCGUGAAGGAGGAAUCGCUAGUAAUUGCAGGUCAGCAUACUGCAGUGAAUUCGUUCCCGGGCCUUGUACACACCGCCCGUCACACCAUGGAAGCUGGUCACGCCCGAAGUCGUUACCCUAACCAUUAUUGGAGGGGACGCCGAAGAGAAGGGGGGC